This is a non-coding RNA of Callithrix jacchus (white-tufted-ear marmoset), 893 nucleotides long. The record is from RefSeq and is a predicted model, not a curated record. NCBI's taxonomy places the organism in Eukaryota, Metazoa, Chordata, Mammalia, Primates, Cebidae.
UCUGUUGCCCAGGCUGGAGUCCAGUGGCAUGAUAGCUAAUUGCAGCCUCGACCUCCUGAGCUCAAGCCAUCCUCCUGCCUCAGCAUCCAGAGUAGCUGGAACCACAGAGAUGGGGUUUCACCACAUUGGUCAGACUGGUCUCGAACUCCUGACCUCAGGCGAUCCACCCACCUCAGCCUCCCAAAGUGCUGGGAUUACAGGCAUGAGCCACCGCACCUGGCCCAACCAGCUUUGAACCAGCAGCAAGAGCAAAAACUGGGAAUGAGAACAAACAGGUACCAGUCCGGACACCUGAACCAACUUGGAGCUCAGGAACCCAGGAGGGGAUUGGGGCUAGUGGUGAGACUCCGUGGUCCACAAUGAGUGCUCCGUCCCCAUCCAAAAAUAUCCCCUAGCCCAGUUUUUGGGCAGAUGCCAGACUUUUAUUCUGAAGCGUGGGCCACAACCUAUGAGGUAAUCUUUGGAGCUUCGUUCUGAGGUGGAAUCCCAUUGGCCGGUUGGGGAAGCCCCUCCUAGGAUUCCUGGCACCCCGCCUUCCCCAAAGCCCAUAAAAGAGCAGGUCCCCGCCUCAGCAGCCACCGGACACCUGCAUCUGCCAAGAAGACUGGAAGCAGAAAGGGACAGACAUAGCAAAGUUGGACGGUCUGGAAAGCAGAGACCAGCGAGGUUGACUGCUUGGGAGGUAAGUUCUGGGGAUGUGUUACAGGGUGAGGAGCAGACAUCAGUGCUAAUUGCGACCCCUCCGUGUCUCCCCAUUGCGAUUCUGAAGCUCCCCAGGAAGAAGCCAGGAGGGGAAAUAAAUUGAGUGGGGGUGGGGUUUCCCAAGGAUCGAAGGAACCGAGAACGAAGAGGGGUGGGGGAACCGGGAAAGAGAGAGAGGAAAAUCAAGUUUU